This 205-nucleotide long non-coding RNA is filed under the name Lathyrus oleraceus (garden pea). Its description in RNAcentral is "Pisum sativum (pea) long non-coding RNA (PSAT_LNC015653)". The record is from RNAcentral. Lineage: Eukaryota; Viridiplantae; Streptophyta; Magnoliopsida; Fabales; Fabaceae.
CUUGUUUCAUUGUGUCUCUCUAGUUUGUCCCUAGAUUGACUCCUCUCUUGUUAUUUCCCUUGCAGUUCCCUGUGGUUCAGGUGAUCAAUUACUCCGUAAACAGUAAUUGUUCAUUCUCUCCCCAGUGAAUUUCUGUGGCCUUCUACCCAGUAACCGGUAGUUGUAAACCCCAUUUUGCCCCCUUGCGGAGUUAAACCUUGAUUGU